ACUGAGAACCAAUUCUUUGUAAAGUUAUCAUUUUCGGUGAACCCAACACUGACCUUUUCUCCUUUUGGCCCAUUAUUUCCGGUGCUGCCUUUAGGCCCAAAGUCUCCUCGUCUUCCCUAAAAAUACAAUGGUAAAUAUCACCAAAAGUUAACCUACUGUAGUGUUACAAGGGGAAUAUAACAGGAAAAGAAUUCCUCACAGGGUCGCCUUUAGGUCCAGGUCCUCCAGCUGUACCCUAUAAAACAAAACAAAGUCCUCUUUAACAUCAUCUCUAAUUUACAAUGUUAAAAUAACAAUAAUGACCAUAAUUAAAACAAAUACAUACAGCAGAUCCUUUCUGGCCAGGAAUUCCAGGUGUUCCGGAACUUCCUCUCUCUCCCUGUAGGGGGUGUCAGAGAGCAUAUUACAAUAUUAUUGAUAACUAAUGUUAGUGUAAUCUCUGUAGUUAUGAAAUCUUACUUUGGGUCCAGGAUCUCCAGCUGGCCCAAGUGGACCUGGUCUUCCUGGACGACCUGGAUCGCCCUGAGAAUAAAGUACCUUUUCUCCCAGAGCCCCUGCAAGACCAGGUUCUCCAACAUCUCCAGGAUAGCCAUCAGGACCCUGUAAAAGGCACAUUCAUCUGUUAAUGGUAUUGCAUAAUACCAGUAUCUGUUCCCCAAAUGAAAAAGACUCACACCUUGUCGCCGGGGUCACCUUUGCAGCCAGGAGCGCCGAUCCUGCCAAUUUUUCCCUGUUAAAAAAUAGUCAGUUUUAUUAAAUUUUAAUAUUUUUAUUAUUUAUUUGAAUUUCUUGCUAUCCACACUUCACUAGCCCACAUUUACUAUUACUUACCUUCUGCCCAUCUGUUCCAUUUCGGCCCAGUAUUCCUGCAACACCCUGUUAGACAAAUACUUUUUUUUAUAUAUAUAUAAAUAUUUAAAAAUAGAUGCAGCAUGAAAGAUUCUGUAAACAGAGAACAUAUAAAAUGAUAAGCAAACAGUCUUACCUUCCUCCCUUGUGCUCCAAUUUCUCCCUAAAAACAGAUAAUUUGCAUGUAACAUUUUUGGUGCAUUACCAAUAAGUCAACCAUAUUUAUUAGAUCUUACAGAUAACAUUGAUAAAAUCAUACCUUUUCACCUCUGAGACCAGUCUCUCC
RNAcentral lists this long non-coding RNA (1135 nucleotides) under Sinocyclocheilus grahami. RNAcentral's name for it is "lncRNA (ENSSGRG00000006267.1)". The record is from RNAcentral. Lineage: Eukaryota; Metazoa; Chordata; Actinopteri; Cypriniformes; Cyprinidae.